Molecule: long non-coding RNA, 192 nt
Organism: Lontra canadensis (Northern American river otter)
Lineage: Eukaryota; Metazoa; Chordata; Mammalia; Carnivora; Mustelidae
Exons: 3
Source: RefSeq, a predicted model, not a curated record
GACAUAUACUGUACAAUUUCACUUAAACAUGGACUCUAAAAAACAAAACAAAAACAGGAACAGAUUCUAUAUACAGAAAACAAACUGGUCAUUUCCAGAGGGGAAGGGGAGUGGUAGAAUGGGCCACACAGGUGAAAGGCAUUAAGAGGUAAAAACUUGGGGCGCCUGGGUGGCUCAGUGGGUUAAGCCUCU